Molecule: ribosomal RNA, 1481 nt
Filed under: uncultured bacterium
Lineage: Bacteria
Description: 16S ribosomal RNA
Rfam family: Bacterial small subunit ribosomal RNA
Source: RNAcentral
CUCAGGAUGAACGCUAGCGACAGGCCUAACACAUGCAAGUCGAGGGGCAUCGGGGCGAGGAGCAAUCCUUGCCGCCGGCGACCGGCGCACGGGUGAGUAACGCGUAUGCGACCUGCCCGUUGCAGGGGGAUAAUCGGGAGAAAUCCCGUCUAAUACCGCGUAAUGCCGCGGGGCUGCAUGGCCCUGCGGCCAAAGGAAGCGAUUCCGGCAACGGAUGGGCAUGCGUGACAUUAGCUAGUUGGCGGGGCAACGGCCCACCAAGGCGACGAUGUCUAGGGGUUCUGAGAGGAAGGUCCCCCACACUGGUACUGAAACACGGACCAGACUCCUACGGGAGGCAGCAGUGAGGAAUAUUGGUCAAUGGGCGCGAGCCUGAACCAGCCAAGUCGCGUGAGGGAUGACGGCCCUACGGGUUGUAAACCUCUUUUGUCGGGGAGCAAAUUCCGCCACGUGUGGCGGAGUCGAGAGUACCCGAAGAAAAAGCAUCGGCUAACUCCGUGCCAGCAGCCGCGGUAAUACGGAGGAUGCGAGCGUUAUCCGGAUUUAUUGGGUUUAAAGGGUGCGUAGGCGGACUGUCAAGUCAGCGGUAAAAUACGGGGGCUCAACCUCCGCCCGCCGUUGAAACUGACGGUCUUGAGUGGGCGAGAAGUAUGCGGAAUGCGUGGUGUAGCGGUGAAAUGCAUAGAUAUCACGCAGAACUCCGAUUGCGAAGGCAGCAUACCGGCGCCCAACUGACGCUGAAGCACGAAAGCGUGGGUAUCGAACAGGAUUAGAUACCCUGGUAGUCCACGCAGUAAACGAUGAAUACUAGCUGUCCGGGGCGAAUGAGCCCUGGGUGGCACAGCGAAAGCGUUAAGUAUUCCACCUGGGGAGUACGCCGGCAACGGUGAAACUCAAAGGAAUUGACGGGGGCCCGCACAAGCGGAGGAACAUGUGGUUUAAUUCGAUGAUACGCGAGGAACCUUACCCGGGCUCAAACGACACAGGAACGUACCUGAAAGGGUUCGGCUCUACGGAGCCUGUGUCGAGGUGCUGCAUGGUUGUCGUCAGCUCGUGCCGUGAGGUGUCGGCUUAAGUGCCAUAACGAGCGCAACCCCCAUCGACAGUUGCUAACAGGUCAGGCUGAGGACUCUGUCGAGACUGCCGGCGCAAGCUGCGAGGAAGGCGGGGAUGACGUCAAAUCAGCACGGCCCUUACGUCCGGGGCGACACACGUGUUACAAUGGCAGGUACAGCGGGAAGCCACCUGGCGACAGGGAGCGGAACCCGAAAGCCUGUCUCAGUUCGGAUUGGAGUCUGCAACCCGACUCCAUGAAGCUGGAUUCGCUAGUAAUCGCGCAUCAGCCACGGCGCGGUGAAUACGUUCCCGGGCCUUGUACACACCGCCCGUCAAGCCAUGGAAGCCGGGGGUGCCUGAAGUGCGCUGCCGCGAGGAGCGCCCUAGGGUAAAACCGGUGACUGGGGCUAAGUCGUAACAAGGUA